RNAcentral lists this ribosomal RNA (253 nucleotides) under uncultured bacterium. RNAcentral describes it as "partial 16S ribosomal RNA". It matches the Rfam family "Bacterial small subunit ribosomal RNA", at positions 524 to 776 of the family's 1533-position model. The record is from RNAcentral.
GACAGAGGUGCCGAGCGUUAGGCGGAAUCACUGGGCUUAAAGCGUGUGUAGGCGGAUCGUUAAGUGCCUUGUGAAAUCCCACGGCUCAACCGUGGAACUGCUUGGCAUACUGGCGAUCUUGAGCCACUUAGGGGCUACCGGAACAAAUGGUGGAGCGGUGAAAUGCGUAGAUAUCAUUUGGAACGCCAAUGGUGAAAACAGGUAGCUGGGAGUGUGCUGACGCUGAGACGCGAAAGCGUGGGGAGCAAACAGG